GUCUGUCCUGGGAGCUGCAGUUACUGCAGUGUGUGUGUGAGUUUGUAGCAGGGUGGGAGAGGAGAGAAGGGAGGUGGAGGGGCUGCACCUGGAGUGAGGACUGUAUCUGUGUGUGCAAGCCGGGGCGACAGACGGCCUGGCACACUGAAGUCAGGUGCCGGGACCCAUGGGGCCUGCUGACUCAUGGGGACACCACUGGAUGGGAAUCCUGCUUUCAGCCUCGCUUUGUACCGUAUGGAGUCCUCCAGCUGCAGCCCAGCUCACCCUCAAUGCCAACCCACUUGAUGCCACCCAAAGUGAGGAUGUUGUUCUGCCUGUGUUUGGGACCCCCAGGACACCCCAGAUUCAUGGCAGAUCCAGAGAGCUGGCCAAACCCUCCAUUGCAGUCAGCCCAGGCACUGCCAUAGAGCAGAAGGACAUGGUGACCUUCUACUGCACCACUAAGGACGUCAACAUUACCAUCCACUGGGUUUCCAACAACCUCUCCAUUGUGUUCCAUGAGCGCAUGCAGCUGUCCAAGGAUGGCAAGAUCCUCACCAUUCUCAUUGUCCAGCGGGAGGACUCAGGGACUUACCAAUGUGAAGCUCGAGAUGCCCUUCUGAGCCAGAGGAGCGACCCCAUCUUCCUGGAUGUGAAGUAUGGUCCUGAUCCUGUUGAAAUCAAAUUGGAGUCUGGUGUUGCCAGUGGGGAGGUGGUUGAGGUGAUGGAGGGCUCCAGCAUGACCUUCUUAGCGGAAACAAAGUCUCACCCACCCUGUGCCUAUACUUGGUUUCUCCUUGACUCCAUUCUGUCUCACACCACGAGAACAUUCACCAUCCAUGCUGUGUCCAGAGAACAUGAGGGCCUGUACAGGUGCUUGGUGUCCAACAGUGCCACCCACCUGUCCAGCCUGGGUACUCUGAAGGUCCGAGUACUUGAAACACUGACCAUGCCUCAAGUCGUGCCUUCAAGCCUGAACCUUGUGGAGAAUGCUAGGUCUGUGGACCUGACCUGCCAAACCGUCAAUCAGAGUGUGAAUGUCCAGUGGUUCCUAAGUGGCCAGCCCCUCCUGCCCAGUGAGCACCUGCAGCUGUCAGCUGACAACAGGACCCUAAUCAUCCAUGGCCUCCAGCGGAAUGACACCGGGCCCUAUGCCUGUGAGGUCUGGAACUGGGGCAGCCGGGCCCGGAGUGAGCCCCUUGAGCUGACCAUCAACUGUCCCCAGUCCUCCUCCCUGUCCUCAGGGGCCAUCGCUGGUAUUGUCAUCGGGAUCCUGGCUGUCAUUGCUGUGGCCUCAGAACUGGGCUAUUUUCUCUGCAUCAGAAAUGCCAGACGGCCCUCAAGGAAAACAACAGAGGACCCCAGUCAUGAGACCUCACAACCCAUCCCGAAGGAGGAGCACCCCACAGAGCCCAGUUCCGAAAGCCUGAGUCCUGAGUAUCGCAAUAUAUCCCAGCUUCAGGGACGGAUCAGAGUCGAACUGAUGCAACCACCAGACCUUCCAGAGGAGACCUAUGAGACGAAGCUGCCUUCAGCAAGCCGUAGAGGCAAUUCUUUCAGCCCCUGGAAGCCACCACCCAAACCUCUGAUGCCCCCACUCAGAUUGGUCUCCACUGUGCCAAAAAACAUGGAGUCAAUCUAUGAGGAGCUUGUGAAUCCAGAGCCCAACACUUACAUCCAAAUCAACCCCUCCGUCUAAUG
Molecule: long non-coding RNA, 1680 nt
Filed under: Homo sapiens (human)
Lineage: Eukaryota; Metazoa; Chordata; Mammalia; Primates; Hominidae
Description: non-protein coding lnc-CEACAM20-1:3
Source: RNAcentral